This 390-nucleotide ribosomal RNA is filed under the name uncultured bacterium. RNAcentral describes it as "bacterial SSU rRNA". It matches the Rfam family "Bacterial small subunit ribosomal RNA", at positions 28 to 418 of the family's 1533-position model. The record is from RNAcentral.
GACGAACGCUGGCGGCGUGCUUAACACAUGCAAGUCGAGCGGUAAGGCCCUUUCGGGGGUACACGAGCGGCGAACGGGUGAGUAACACGUGGGUGACCUGCCCUCAGCUCUGGGAUAAGCCUGGGAAACCGGGUCUAAUACUGGAUAUGACUCCAUGACGCAUGUUGUGGGGUGGAAAGCCUUGUGCGGCUGAGGAUGGGCCCGCGGCCUAUCAGCUUGUUGGUGGGGUGAGGCCUACCAAGGCGACGACGGGUAGCCGGCCUGAGAGGGCGACCGGCCGACACUGGGACUGAGACACGGCCCAGACUCCUACGGGAGGCAGCAGUGGGGAAUCUUGCGCAAUGGGCGAAAGCCUGACGCAGGCGACGCCGCGUGAGGGAUGACGGCCUC